Molecule: transfer RNA, 81 nt
Filed under: Tupaia belangeri chinensis (Chinese tree shrew)
Lineage: Eukaryota; Metazoa; Chordata; Mammalia; Scandentia; Tupaiidae
Description: Tupaia chinensis (Chinese tree shrew) tRNA
Rfam family: tRNA
About the family: Transfer RNA (tRNA) molecules are approximately 80 nucleotides in length. Their secondary structure includes four short double-helical elements and three loops (D, anti-codon, and T loops). Further hydrogen bonds mediate the characteristic L-shaped molecular structure. tRNAs have two regions of fundamental functional importance: the anti-codon, which is responsible for specific mRNA codon recognition, and the 3' end, to which the tRNAs corresponding amino acid is attached (by aminoacyl-tRNA synthetases). tRNAs cope with the degeneracy of the genetic code in two manners: having more than one tRNA (with a specific anti-codon) for a particular amino acid; and 'wobble' base-pairing, i.e. permitting non-standard base-pairing at the 3rd anti-codon position.
Source: Rfam by way of RNAcentral
GCCACUGUGGCACAGUGGUAAUGCAAGUGCCCUGCAAGGCUGAUGUCAUAAUGACCAUGGGUUCGAAUCCAUGCAUUGGCU